RNAcentral lists this ribosomal RNA (324 nucleotides) under Allapsidae sp. RNAcentral's name for it is "SSU rRNA". The stretch from base 111 to 324 matches the Rfam family "Eukaryotic small subunit ribosomal RNA", at positions 741 to 955 of the family's 1831-position model. The record is from RNAcentral. Lineage: Eukaryota; Cercozoa; Glissomonadida; Viridiraptoridae.
GAUUUCUGGCACGAUGCGCCUGGCCCGCCACGGUUACGUGUGUGAGUGCCGGGUCGGAUCUGCCAUCCUUCCAGAGAACGGUCCUACCCUUCACUGGGCCGGGGCCGCACAUCUGGAUCGUUUACUUUGAAAAAAUUAGAGUGUUUCAAGCAGGCGACUCGCUGUGAAUACAUUAGCAUGGAAUAAUGACUUAGGACUUCGGUUCUAUUUUGUUGGUUUCUAGGACUGAAGUAAUGAUUGAUAGGGAUAGUUGGGGGUGCUAGUAUUCAUCGGCCAGAGGUGAAAUUCUUGGAUUCGAUGAAGACUAACUAAUGCGAAAGCAUU